AUCCCACGGAAAUUCUUUCUUACUUGUCGAGAGUCCCUCCGUUGCAUCCAUGGAAUCCCGAACUGCUUCUUCGGGAUACGAGAGUCCCCGCUUCCACGGUUCUACCACCGUGGAGAGCUGUUCCGCUGCCAUUCCUUCUGAGAAUGAAAACACUUCCUCCCAAGCGGCACCUUCUGCCUUUUCCUUUCUCCACGCAACCAAUGCAAAGAUCAUUGAUCAGG
This 221-nucleotide non-coding RNA is filed under the name Palpitomonas bilix. The record is from RNAcentral.